Molecule: ribosomal RNA, 253 nt
Filed under: uncultured bacterium
Lineage: Bacteria
Description: partial 16S ribosomal RNA
Rfam family: Bacterial small subunit ribosomal RNA
Source: RNAcentral
UACGUAGGGGGCAAGCGUUGUUCGGAAUUACUGGGCGUAAAGGGCGCGUAGGCGGCACGGCAAGUCAGGAGUGAAAGCCCGGGGCUCAACCCCGGAAUGUCUUUUGAAACUGCCGAGCUAGAGUGCGGAAGAGGCAACUGGAAUUCCCAGUGUAGCGGUGAAAUGCGUAGAUAUUGGGAAGAACACCUGAGGCGAAGGCGGGUUGCUGGGCCGACACUGACGCUGAGGCGCGAAAGCCAGGGGAGCGAACAGG